Molecule: ribosomal RNA, 497 nt
Filed under: uncultured bacterium
Lineage: Bacteria
Description: partial 16S ribosomal RNA
Rfam family: Bacterial small subunit ribosomal RNA
Source: RNAcentral
GAUGAACGCUGGCGGCGUGCCUAAUACAUGCAAGUCGAGCGAACGGACCAGAAGCUUGCUUCUCUGAUGUUAGCGGCGGACGGGUGAGUAACACGUGGAUAACCUACCUAUAAGACUGGGAUAACUUCGGGAAACCGGAGCUAAUACCGGAUAAUAUUUUGAACCGCAUGGUUCAAAAGUGAAAGACGGUCUUGCUGUCACUUAUAGAUGGAUCCGCGCUGCAUUAGCUAGUUGGUAAGGUAACGGCUUACCAAGGCAACGAUGCAUAGCCGACCUGAGAGGGUGAUCGGCCACACUGGAACUGAGACACGGUCCAGACUCCUACGGGAGGCAGCAGUAGGGAAUCUUCCGCAAUGGGCGAAAGCCUGACGGAGCAACGCCGCGUGAGUGAUGAAGGUCUUCGGAUCGUAAAACUCUGUUAUUAGGGAAGAACAUAUGUGUAAGUAACUGUGCACAUCUUGACGGUACCUAAUCAGAAAGCCACGGCUAGCUACGUG